RNAcentral lists this ribosomal RNA (777 nucleotides) under uncultured Neocallimastigales. Its description in RNAcentral is "partial large subunit ribosomal RNA". It matches the Rfam family "Eukaryotic large subunit ribosomal RNA", at positions 23 to 635 of the family's 3401-position model. Lineage: Eukaryota; Fungi; Neocallimastigomycota; Neocallimastigomycetes; Neocallimastigales. The record is from RNAcentral.
GAGAUGUGUGAUGACGCAUAUCAAUAAGCGGAGGAAAAGAAACUAACAAGGAUUCCCUUAGUAACGGCGAGUGAAGCGGGAAGAGCUCAAAUUUGAAAUCUUCAAGGUUCUACCUUGACGAAUUGUAGUUUAUAAGAAGUGUUUUCUGUUAGUAGAGUGGCAAAAGUUCUUUGGAAUAGGACAUCAUAGAGGGUGAGAAUCCCGUAUUUGGUCAUUCUUUCUAGCUUUGUGAUACACUUUCAACGAGUCGGAUUGUUUGGGAAUGCAGUCCAAAAUGGGUGGUAAAUUUCAUCUAAAGCUAAAUAUUGGCGAGAGACCGAUAGCGAACAAGUACCGUGAGGGAAAGAUGAAAAGAACUUUGAAAAGAGAGUUAAACAGUACGUGAAAUUGUCAAAAGGGAAGCGUUUGACACCAGUGUUGUCUUUCCGAAAAUCAAUUACGAAUGUUUUAUUUUUGAGAAGUUAUGACUUCAUCGGCUUGCUUCUUUCUUUAUCGAAACUUUCUUAAUGCACUUUUCGGUUAACAAGUCAACAUCAAUUUCUUUUGUUGUAAAAGGGUAUCGAGGAAGGUGGCUUUCUUUUCGGAGAAAGUGUUUAUAGCCUUGUAGCCUCUGCAAUCGGAGAGAUUGAGGUCUGCAGCGUAGAUCCUUCGGGGUUAGAUACAUUUGUGCUAAGUUAUAGCUUUUCAUAGACAACUUGUUGACUAUGUUUAGUCUUGUAGCUUACUCGCUUAUGCUAUUUUACCUACGCUUAGGAUGUUGAAGAUGUAGCACAUCAU